This 259-nucleotide ribosomal RNA is filed under the name uncultured archaeon. RNAcentral describes it as "partial 16S ribosomal RNA". It matches the Rfam family "Archaeal small subunit ribosomal RNA", at positions 748 to 1006 of the family's 1478-position model. The record is from RNAcentral.
UAGCCGUAAACGAUACUCGCUAGGUGUCGGCCACGGUGCGACCGUUGUCGGUGCCGUAGGGAAGCCGUGAAGCGAGCCACCUGGGAAGUACGGCCGCAAGGCUGAAACUUAAAGGAAUUGGCGGGGGAGCACAACAACGGGUGGAGCUUGCGGUUUAAUUUGGAUUCAACGCCGGAAAUCUUACCGGGACCGACAGCAACAUGAAGGCCAAGCUGAAGACUUUGCCGGAUUAGCUGAGAGGAGGUGCAUGGCGUAGUCG